AGUGAACGCUGGCGGUAGGCCUAACACAUGCAAGUCGAACGGCAGCACAGUAAGAGCUUGCUCUUACGGGUGGCGAGUGGCGGACGGGUGAGGAAUACAUCGGAAUCUACUUUUUCGUGGGGGAUAACGUAGGGAAACUUACGCUAAUACCGCAUACGACCUACGGGUGAAAGCAGGGGAUCUUCGGACCUUGCGCGAUUGAAUGAGCCGAUGCCGGAUUAGCGAGUUGGCGGGGCAAAGGCCCACCAAGGCGACGAUCCGUCGCGGGCCUGAGCGGGUGAUCAGCCGCACGGGGACGGAGACACGGUCCAGAGUCCUACGGGAGGCAGCAGUGGGGAAUAUUGGGCAAUGGGCGCAAGCCUGAUCCAGCCAUGCCGCGUGGGUGAAGAAGGCCUUCGGGUUGUAAAGCCCUUUUGUUGGGAAAGAAAAGCAGCAGGUUAAUACCCCGCUGUUCUGACGGUACCCAAAGAAUAAGCACCGGCUAACUUCGUG
This 492-nucleotide ribosomal RNA is filed under the name uncultured bacterium. RNAcentral describes it as "partial 16S ribosomal RNA". It matches the Rfam family "Bacterial small subunit ribosomal RNA", at positions 29 to 507 of the family's 1533-position model. The record is from RNAcentral.